GACGAACGCUGGCGGCGUGCUUAACACAUGCAAGUCGAACGAUGAAGAAGAGAAACGCGAACUUCGGUUCAAAUUUCACUUCGGAUUAGUGGCAGACGGGUGAGUAGCGCGUGAGCAACCUACCUCUUACAAAGGGAUAGCCUCGGGAAACCGUGAUUAAUACCAUAUGACACAUUCAUAAGGCAUCUUAAGAAUGUUAAAGCUACGGCGGUAAGAGAUGGGCUCGCGUCCCAUUAGCUAGUUGGUGAGGUAACGGCCCACCAAGGCGACGAUGGGUAACCGGCCUGAGAGGGUGAACGGUCACAUUGGAACUGAGACACGGUCCAAACUCCUACGGGAGGCAGCAGUGGGGAAUAUUGCACAAUGGAGGGAACUCUGAUGCAGCGACGCCGCGUGAGCGAUGAAGGAAUUCGUUUCGUAAAGCUCUGUUCUAUGGGAAGAAAAGGACUGUACCAUAGGAGAAAGCCCCGGCUAAAUACGUG
This 482-nucleotide ribosomal RNA is filed under the name uncultured bacterium. Its description in RNAcentral is "partial 16S ribosomal RNA". It matches the Rfam family "Bacterial small subunit ribosomal RNA", at positions 28 to 507 of the family's 1533-position model. The record is from RNAcentral.